AGUGAACGCUGGCGGUAGGCCUAACACAUGCAAGUCGAACGGCAGCACAGUAAGAGCUUGCUCUUACGGGUGGCGAGUGGCGGACGGGUGAGGAAUACAUCGGAAUCUACUUUUUCGUGGGGGAUAACGUAGGGAAACUUACGCUAAUACCGCAUACGACCUACGGGUGAAAGCAGGGGAUCUUCGGACCUUGCGCGAUUGAAUGAGCCGAUGUCGGAUUAGCUAGUUGGCGGGGUAAAGGCGCACCAAGGCGACGAUCCGUAGGUGGUCUGAGAGGAUGAUCAGCCACACUGGAACUGAGACACGGUCCAGACUCCGACGGGAGGCAGCAGUGGAGAAUAUUGGACAAUGGGCGCAAGCCUGAUCCAGCCAUACCGCGUGGGUGAAGAAGGCCUUCGGGCUGUAAAGCCCUUUUGUUGGGAAAGAAAAGCAGCAGGUUAAUACCCCGCUGUUCUGACGGUACCCAAAGAAUAAGCACCGGCUAACUUCGUG
RNAcentral lists this ribosomal RNA (492 nucleotides) under uncultured bacterium. RNAcentral describes it as "partial 16S ribosomal RNA". It matches the Rfam family "Bacterial small subunit ribosomal RNA", at positions 29 to 507 of the family's 1533-position model. The record is from RNAcentral.